This 1095-nucleotide long non-coding RNA is filed under the name Olea europaea subsp. europaea. Lineage: Eukaryota; Viridiplantae; Streptophyta; Magnoliopsida; Lamiales; Oleaceae. The record is from RNAcentral.
GUUCAAGGUAGCACUCACGAAGAGAAUAGAAGAAAUAAUGGGUUACUUCACUACACUCACAAAAAGGAAGAAGAUAACCCGCACAUGACUGCCCUAUAUAAUCGCACAAAUCACUCUGGCUUACAAAUAUAAAGGAGAAAAUUGCUGACACUAUUUGUUCUUACUACCACACUCUCUCACACCAUUUGUAGAGCAAAAGGAGUACUUCAUAGAUCGUAACCCACUAUGCAUGCAAAUACAUUACACAAAGUAAUAAGGUUACUCCAAUUCAUGCAGUUACGCAUACAAAUAAAUUGAAAGUAUAACAUAUCAACACAACAGAAUUAAGUGAUCAGGUACAUACAAAAAGGAUUACAUACAAAUGUACAUGCACUAACCAAGUUUAUUGUCAAUAAAUCUCACUAGGGUCAUCGCUCGACCCUAAAGCCACAUUUGCCUCACGCCUCUCCUUAUCUUUCCUUUUAUUAUCAUUCAUAGAACAGUCCAUUUUACCAUGUCCAAAGUUUACUGCAGUUAAAACAUAUCUUACUUUUCGUACUUGCAUUAGACCUACAUUUGCCAUCAAAAGUUUUAUAAAAACAUUUCGUUAUGGCAAAAAUUGAAAAAUCACAAAUUUUCCGUUAAAAACAUGACUCAAAAUGUAUUGUCAUUUACAAAAAAAAAAAAAAAAAAAAAAAUACACAAAGCACAAAAUGCAACCAACACAAGAAAAGUGAGACAUAAUUCACAUCACAAAGAAUUUAAGGCAAAUAAUUAUCAAGUAAUUCCUAUGUCUUGCAAUAUGCAAUGUUUACCUCUUUCAUGAUAACCUCAAACCUAAUAUCACCCAACACGAUGACUUCUAAAGCAAAAAGUAAAUUGUUACCCUACAUGUUAACCAUAACUUCAAUAAUAAAAAGGAAAGAACAUGAUACUGAGCGGACCACGUUUGAAAAUUCCUAUAUAUGAGAGAUGCGAAUUCACCACUUUAGAGCUACUAUCCGCCUAAAGCUUAAGUCAAAUGAAACAACGUAAAAUGGCACCCGAGCGUCAAAGGGCAAAGUCAUUCGAUCUUCACUGUAUCGCUCGAAAUUGAAAACGGAUACAACUACAGGG